RNAcentral lists this long non-coding RNA (334 nucleotides) under Mytilus galloprovincialis (Mediterranean mussel). Lineage: Eukaryota; Metazoa; Mollusca; Bivalvia; Mytilida; Mytilidae. The record is from RNAcentral.
UCAUCUAUGUAUUUGAAUUUGGUUUUAUCUUUUAUCCAUAUCGCUACCCCACGUGAAUUGCUUGUCCCGUCGCUUCUAAAAAGAUUUUUACACAAAUUCUUUUUUCAAUGUGAACUUCAUUUUAUUUGUAAAAUGGGUUUCCUAAUGAAUAGAAUAUCAUUUUUUUGUUGAUUUGACCAGCUUACAAUUUUACUUAUUUUUUCAGGUUGUUGCAGGCCAUUGGCAUUGACCGUGCUUAUAUGUAGAUUAUUCUUCAUUUUGGAUUAAAAAAAAAAAUUUGAUUGAGCAUUUUAUCUGGUAAGUACCAUUUUCUAAUCAUAGUUUUACAAAUAUU